GAUGAACGCUAGCUACAGGCUUAACACAUGCAAGUCGAGGGGCAGCAUGAAGUCAGCUUGCUGACUUUGAUGGCGACCGGCGCACGGGUGAGUAACGCGUAUCCAACCUUCCCCUUACUCAGGAAUAGCCCGUUGAAAGACGGAUUAAUGCCUGAUGUUCUCUAUUUCCGGCAUCGGUAAUAGAGCAAAGAUUCAUCGGUAAGGGAUGGGGAUGCGUAUGAUUAGCUUGUUGGCGGGGUAACGGCCCACCAAGGCAACGAUCAUUAGGGGUUCUGAGAGGAAGGUCCCCCACACUGGAACUGAGACACGGUCCAGACUCCUACGGGAGGCAGCAGUGAGGAAUAUUGGUCAAUGGUCUGACGACUGAACCAGCCAUGCCGCGUGAAGGUCACGGCCCUAUGGGUCUUGAACUUCUUUUGUAAGGGAGCAAUAAGUCUCACGUGUGGGAUGAUGAGAGUACCUUACGAAUAAGCAUCGGCUAACUCCG
RNAcentral lists this ribosomal RNA (487 nucleotides) under uncultured bacterium. Its description in RNAcentral is "bacterial SSU rRNA". It matches the Rfam family "Bacterial small subunit ribosomal RNA", at positions 28 to 505 of the family's 1533-position model. The record is from RNAcentral.